UGGGGAAUAUUGCACAAUGGGCGCAAGCCUGAUGCAGCCAUGCCGCGUGUGUGAAGAAGGCCUUCGGGUUGUAAAGCACUUUCAGCGGGGAGGAAGGCGUUAAGGUUAAUAACCUUGGCGAUUGACGUUACCCGCAGUAGAAGCACCGGCUAACUCCGUGCCAGCAGCCGCGGUAAUACGGAGGGUGCAAGCGUUAAUCGGAAUUACUGGGCGUAAAGCGCACGCAGGCGGUUUGUUAAGUCAGAUGUGAAAUCCCCGGGCUCAACCUGGGAACUGCAUCUGAUACUGGCAAGCUUGAGUCUCGUAGAGGGGGGUAGAAUUCCAGGUGUAGCGGUGAAAUGCGUAGAGAUCUGGAGGAAUACCGGUGGCGAAGGCGGCCCCCUGGACGAAGACUGACGCUCAGGUGCGAAAGCGUGGGGAGCAAACAGG
This 429-nucleotide ribosomal RNA is filed under the name Chloroflexota bacterium. RNAcentral describes it as "Chloroflexi bacterium partial 16S ribosomal RNA". It matches the Rfam family "Bacterial small subunit ribosomal RNA", at positions 355 to 776 of the family's 1533-position model. Lineage: Bacteria; Bacillati; Chloroflexota. The record is from RNAcentral.